GGAGAAAGGGAAAGAAGGAAGGAAGGAAGGAAGGAAGGAAGGAAGGAAGGAAGGAAGGAAGGAAGGAAGACCAGCCCUGUCUACAGAGUGAGUUCCAGAACAGCCAGGGCUGUUACACACAGAAACCCUGUCUCAGAAAGGAAGGAAGGGAGGGAGGGAUGGGGACAUCCUGUUCAAGGAGCUUUGUUCCAAAAUGCAUCCAGUGUGUCUACACCAGCAGACUUGCAGGAGAGCAAGAAUGGCGAGGGAAACCAAGACAAGCAUCUAAUUACUGAGGAUGCUGCAGCGCUUGAGGACUGGAGGUGUGCCUCAGUGGCAGGGCUGCUUGCCUGACAUGUGUGAAGCAAUGCUUAGUCUGAACAUGAAGGCACAGGCCUGUAAUGCCACUUGGGAAGUGGAGGCAGAAGGUCAGGAGCUCAAGGUCAUCCUCAGGUAUGUAGAGUGAGUAUUAGGUCAGCCCCAUCUCCAUAAGAAUCUUCUCAAAACAAAACAAAACAAUCAAUAACAAAACCACAAGGAAACAAACCUCCUCAGACACAGGUGAUCCCUAAGCAAGUAGAACUCUCUGUCUUACGUAUUCAGGAUGGUGAGCCAGAGAGUUACCACAGAAUCAGGGAGUCAGACUGACGCUUGCCAGGGUAAAAACUGCUCCGGGAUAGGAAAGAGUCCUGAGUCUGAAGAGGCUGCUGCUCUGACCAGAUGCCUGAGUGAGACAUGAUGAGUGCAGCAUUUUCCAGGGAGAAUAACUCAAAGCGGAAGCAGAAGGCAAAGGCCUCAAGGCAGGAAGGAAGCCAGGAUUUGGGAGGAAAGUUCAGGAGCCAGCGUGGUUGACAGAAGAGUAAUGGAAUAGAUGGAGAGGAGAUGAGCAAGCAAGGGCACUCACGCAUCACUUAGAACCCAAGGGAAGGAUUUGGAUCUUUCUCUGAUGACCAGGUUUGAGUUGUGGUUUAGAAAACACACAUCUGGCUACUGUACAGAGAAUAACCUAUAUUAAGGCUACAGUUGGUAGCACUGGAAGAUGGGUGAGAGGGCGGGAACAGCGGCUCUGCUGAGGCCCUGUGGUGUUCUCCAGGGGGUCUCAGCAGUUGCUCUUGAACAGGCCUAUGGAUCCAAUGUUUAUAAGGCCCCUGCAUUCUUCACAACAGAGGUCUAGUAGAGUAGUGAAGUCAGGUUUGCAAUGCCCGGGGCACGUGGCCCUGGGGAGCCAGUUCUCAGUUCUGUCUGAAGGUCACUGGCUUGGGACCUAGGAAGAACCUGGGGUUAGUGGAACCCUAAGGCAGGAGAAAUAGAUGUCCCAGGCUGAAGACAAUCAGGGCAACAGUCACUUCCUACUGGUGAGACAAUCAGCCCUUUGGCUCUAGUUACCUGUCAACUGGUUGGGUGGGGCCCACCCACAGAGAAGGCCUGUGCUUUACUGAUUAAAAUCUUAGAUUCUUUUAGAAACAGACACCCAGAAUAACGUUUGACUAAAAAUGUCUGGACACCAAGGCUCAGUUAAGUAUAAUAAUAAUAAUAAUAAUAAUAAUAAUAAUAAUAAUAAUAAUCACAACCAGUUGAAAUAGAGCCAGCUAAAAGGUAUUUAUGGAAAGACUAAAUACCUCCCAGUUGAAAAUAUAAUGUAAAGACAGCCUUCAGCGGCCAGACACUGCUGUCUCUACAAACUGGGGUUGACUGUGCUGAAGGGCUUGUCCAAAGCAGUACAGGAAGGAAGGGGUUAAAUACAAUGCUUGGAAAGAGAAGCUAUGAAACUGUCCUUAUUUAUAAACAGUGUAAGUUUCAUCUAAGAAGUUCAAGUGCUUUUCUUCUACAAGAACCAAUAAAGUUCCAUAAGAUUACUGAACUCAAGCCAACACACAAAAAGAAUAAUGGGCAUUUCAAUAAAAUAACACCAGACAGAAAAUGAAAUAGAAAAUGGAAACAAAAAAAAAAACUUGUAAAAUACCCAGGAAUAAAACUAAUAAAUGAUGGUUAAGACUGUUGAAGGAAAAUAAAAUAUUUUUUGAAGAACCAAAAAAAAAAAAAAGUAUGAAGAUGGAUGCGUUACCGUAGAACGGCCGUGUGUCACCACCCCUCGAAAGCACCUCACACCCCCGUGACAUUUUGACCAGCAUCCCAGAGGCUUCACAGGGUUUGCCAGUGAGUCCUAAAAUCAAUAUAAAAACACGAGGCAUCAAGGAAAGUUAGGUAUAGAGAAAUAUAGGGAGGGAGAGAAAGACAGAGAGAGAGAGAGGGAGGGUGUUGGGGGGGUGGCUGACCAAAUGUAUCGCAAAUUUGUACAGCUCUCUAAAUGUGGUCUUGGCAUAAAAAGAGACCAAUAAGCCCAGCUGUGUGGCAGAGAAUCCAGAAACACUAGAAACACUUAUAAACUUGAGCUGUAACCAAGAUGGCCCUGCAAAGCAAAAGAAAAGACAGGCCAGCCUGGCAAACAGGGGUAGGGCCACUGAUGACCCCUGCAGAAAAGAAGAUGGGAUCCCAUUUUCACACAUAGACAAAAAAAUAAACCCAGAUGGAUUAAAGACCCAGAUGUGCGAAACAGCUUUGGUUAAAAAUGUGCAAUGCCCAAAAGAAAAGUUUCUUACUCCAGGGACAAAAAGUUGCAGAAAACAUUGGUGAAUCUGAUGACACCAAGAUCCAAAGACAGAAAGAGUUUGUUCAACAUAGAAGAGAGAGGAGGUGGGUAAAAACGCAACCUUUCACAUGACAAAGAAUUGUUCUCGGUUAAGUAGCUCCAAAGAACAGGGUCAUUAAUGAGUCUGUGAGCAGCAAAUGAAGACCAGAAUAAACAAAUGAGGAUAGGAACAAGCACACAGCCUACUGACAGGCUGGAGUUACGUGUCCCGCCAGGUCCCGCCAUGUCAGCCCCAAAUGAACAGAGACGAAAUAUUAAUUAUAAAACUGUUAGCCAAUGGCUGGGGCUUCUUAUUGGCUAGCUCUAUCUUAAUUAUGAACACAUUUCUAUUAAUCUAUGUAUGUCCACGUGGCCUUGGCUUACUGGAGAAGGGUCUGGCCUUGUUACUCCUUUGUGGUCUAUGUGGCAUCUCCCCAUGACCCAUUUCUACCUAGCUUUCCCAGAAUUCUCCCUCAUCUCCUAGUCCUGCCUAUUGGCCUAGUCAUGCUUCUAUUGGCCAAACAGUAUUUUAUUCAUCAACCAAUAAGAGAAACAUAUGCACAGAAGGACAUCCCCCAUCAGAAAUAAAACAAAACAAAACAAGCAAACAAAAAAACCUGACCUGCAGAAACCAUUGCAUCAGAACCCACAGAAUUUAAGAUACAGGACAAGGAAGCAGGGUGGUGUUUGUAGAGUAGCCAUCACUUUCAUGGGCUGCUACUAAGCGCCAGAAAUACCACACUCCACAUUAGCUUCAAAUCACCCUCCCUAACUUAGUAGAUCAACUUCUCACUGUAAAACUCGUGGGGAAAGUGUGCAGCUGUAAAAGGGUGCAGGCAUGGAAAUGCUUGUUAAGUGGCAUGGUUUCCAACAGAUAUUUAAAACCCCAAAGAGCACUGAAAUAGAUUAAUCUUUUGUGAUGUAACUUUCAGAAGAAUACACAUUCCACAAGGCACAGACACACGCCCACAGUCCCAGCACUUCCAGACUGAGGCGGGAAGAUCAUGAGUUUGAGGCUAAGCAGGCAACAGACACCCAUAAUUAAAAACUAAAGAAUAAAAUAAAAUAUUCUAGUGGAGUUUUACUGUCAUGAACUCUCAAAAGCAUAGGUUGUAUCCUGGGGAGGUAGCAGAGCUGAGGCACUUGCCUAACAGCAGGGGGAUCUGAGUUACUCCCUAAAACCCCUGUAAGAAAUCCAGGUAGGGUAGCAUAUGCUUAUAAUCUCAGCUCUGGAAACGCAGGGGCAGGUAGAUCCCUGGGGCUCACUGGCCAGCCAGCCCGGUCUUUUAAGUGAGUUCUAUGCCAGUUAGAGACCCUGUUUCCAAAAAACAAAGUGGACAGUGCCUGAGGAAGGACCCUGGAGGUUGACCUCUGGCCUCUACACACAUGCAUAGGCUCCUGCACACACAUAUGUGCUGUCACUCACAGUGAGUGCUUUUUUUCUUUUUUUUUCUUUUUCUUUUUUUUUUUUUUUUUUUGGUUUUUCAAGACAGGGUUUCUCUGUGGCUUUGGAGGCUGUCCUGGAACUAGUACUUGUAGACCAGGCUGGUCUCGAACUCACAGAGAUCUGCCUGCCUCUGCCUCCUGAGUGCUGGGUUAAAGGCGUGCACCACCACAGCCCGGCUCACAGUGAGUGCUUUUUAACUUAAGUUGUAGAUUGGAGAAUUCCACUGUGUACCAUGUGUAGAAGCUUGGAUAUGCAGAAAGCACACCCACAUUGUGUAUUAUCUGUGCACAUGCCAAUCCAUCCUGGUGGACACAAAAAUGCUGAGUUGUGCAUGAGACAUAAAACACCAAGCCAGAGAAGUAUGUGAAGAGACAGCAGUGUGGGAAGUCUAGAUGGCUGAAAUGACCUCAAUAAUCUGGUGAGCUUAACGAGAACCUGGAGCAAACAUCGGCUGGUGUUCUGCUUUCUAAAACUGUGUGAUGGGUGGAAUGCACAGUGCUGCCUUUUCAUUACUCCCACUUCUUAAAAUACAAGCACACACACACACACACACACACACACACACACACACACACGGACACACGGACACACACAUGAACACACACAGACACACACAUAUAGACACACAGGUAGACAGACACAUAGGCACAUACACAUGGAAACACAGGCACACACACACACACACACACACACACACACACACACACACACACGGACACACACAUGAACACACACAGACACACACAUAUGGACACACAGGUAGACAGACACACAGGCACAUAGACACACAUGGACACACAUACACGGACACAUAGGCACAUACAAAUGAACACACAGGCACACACACAGACACACCCAUAUGGACACACAGGUAGACAGACACACAGUCACAUAGACACACAGGCACACACAGACACACACAGGGACGCACACAUGGACACACAAGCACACACACAAGGACAUGUAAACACAUACAUACCAUGCUAACCCCAGGCUGGUUUUAAGAAUCAUGAACUGAAUUGGGGUAUAGAAACACAAAGCCCACUGAAAAUGCCACCAUUAUAUCUUUUUGUUGGUCAUCUGGAACCAUGGAAGCCAGAAGAGCCAUACUUGUCUCUGUCCUCCACAUCCUGGGAGUGUGAGAGGAAGCCAUGACUAAAGUAAGACUUCUCAUGUGGUUCCUCCCAUUUGCAGUCGAGUUGUCCCGAGACAGGGUGUAGCCAUUGAACCCGAUGGCAGUAACGACAGGAGUGGAUUUCGGAUUGACUGCAUCUUAAUCAAAAAUGAUUUAUAUGGAAAGUACUGAUGUCAUAAAUCAGUUUUCUGUUGUGGGUAUUUCCUUCUUGGUUGACACAGACUUGGAAGGCAAGGCUUACCCUCAAAAGUAGGACAGUUGGGGGUCUGAAGAUCAAUGAGCAGAGCAGAUUGCCCCUGCUCUCCACUUUCUGGGAGCUAGGGUUUCCAAAGACAAGUUCAGUGCAGGAACCUGCCCCAUCUGCUUCAAGUUCAAGGUCAGUGCAGGCAUCCACUGAGUGGAUUUUUUCUGUUUUCAUUUCCCAUGUGGCAUCGGCUCAGAGGCCUUAUUAAAACUGCCUGUCACUGGUCUGCAGAAAGAAGUGAAUAUCCAACUGGGCACUAAUCUUAAUUCCUCAUUGAACAGUAAUUAAACUCUGAAGUUUAACUCAGUUAAGAGUAGUUUUUUUUUUUUUUUUCCUUCUCUCCUUCCAUCAAACAGAUAGCAUACUUGUCCUGGCAGGGGGCUCCCGACUCCCUAAGCCCUGCUUAAACAUUUCUUUUUGUAAUUAUUUACCCAAUCACCUGAUAUUGCCUCCCCCACUCCCAUGGUAAAAGCCAAAGCUGUUAGAGCAAAGCUUAUAUUUCUUUCUUUUUUCACUAGUUUAGCAGGCUAAGUAAUUUUGUUGAAGAUUAAAUUCAUCGGCAAGCAGCUCACACUUAUCCUAGGAAAAGAAGGAAAGAAGAAAACGGGAAAAUGCCUAGCAUCCCUUUAACUUGGCAUGUUUACUGACUGUUUGGUGCAUUUCCUUUUUUCCUCCUGGAUCUUUUUUAUAUGUGCAGCUUUGGAGGAGGUUGGAGGUAGAUUUUACAUCAUUUUAAAAUACACCAUAGUACCAGUUCUGUGCCUGCUUGCUUUUAUUUUUAAAGAAAAUGUUGUAAGCUUUCAGGCCAGUAGGGCUGGCUGUGUUUUGCUUUAGUUUUUAAGCCAACGGCAAAUGAAUCAAACUUUGCUGCAUUUUCUUUGGCAUGGUCCUUAAUUAGUUUCUCUGCCUUUUUUUUUUUUUUUUUUU
Molecule: long non-coding RNA, 6361 nt
Filed under: Cricetulus griseus (Chinese hamster)
Lineage: Eukaryota; Metazoa; Chordata; Mammalia; Rodentia; Cricetidae
Description: lncRNA (ENSCGRG00015029220.1)
Source: RNAcentral